AACGAACGCUGGCGGCAGGCUUAACACAUGCAAGUCGAACGCCCCGCAAGGGGAGUGGCAGACGGGUGAGUAACGCGUGGGGACAUACCCUUUCCUGCGGAAUAGCUCCGGGAAACUGGAAUUAAUACCGCAUACGCCCUACGGGGGAAAGAUUUAUCGGGGAAGGAUUGGCCCGCGUUGGAUUAGCUAGUUGGUGGGGUAAAGGCCUACCAAGGCGACAAUCCAUAGCUGGUCUGAGAGGAUGAUCAGCCACAUUGGGACUGAGACACGGCCCAAACUCCUACGGGAGGCAGCAGUGGGGAAUAUUGGACAAUGGGCGCAAGCCUGAUCCAGCCAUGCCGCGUGAGUGAUGAAGGCCUUAGGGUUGUAAAGCUCUUUCACCGAUGAAGAUAAUGACGGUAGUCGGAGAAGAAGCCCCGGCUAACUUCGUG
This 431-nucleotide ribosomal RNA is filed under the name uncultured bacterium. RNAcentral's name for it is "partial 16S ribosomal RNA". It matches the Rfam family "Bacterial small subunit ribosomal RNA", at positions 29 to 507 of the family's 1533-position model. The record is from RNAcentral.